Molecule: ribosomal RNA, 1272 nt
Filed under: Escherichia coli
Lineage: Bacteria; Pseudomonadati; Pseudomonadota; Gammaproteobacteria; Enterobacterales; Enterobacteriaceae
Description: partial 23S ribosomal RNA
Rfam family: Bacterial large subunit ribosomal RNA
Source: RNAcentral
AUAAUGGGUCAGCGACUUAUAUUCUGUAGCAAGGUUAACCGAAUAGGGGAGCCGAAGGGAAACCGAGUCUUAACUGGGCGUUAAGUUGCAGGGUAUAGACCCGAAACCCGGUGAUCUAGCCAUGGGCAGGUUGAAGGUUGGGUAACACUAACUGGAGGACCGAACCGACUAAUGUUGAAAAAUUAGCGGAUGACUUGUGGCUGGGGGUGAAAGGCCAAUCAAACCGGGAGAUAGCUGGUUCUCCCCGAAAGCUAUUUAGGUAGCGCCUCGUGAAUUCAUCUCCGGGGGUAGAGCACUGUUUCGGCAAGGGGGUCAUCCCGACUUACCAACCCGAUGCAAACUGCGAAUACCGGAGAAUGUUAUCACGGGAGACACACGGCGGGUGCUAACGUCCGUCGUGAAGAGGGAAACAACCCAGACCGCCAGCUAAGGUCCCAAAGUCAUGGUUAAGUGGGAAACGAUGUGGGAAGGCCCAGACAGCCAGGAUGUUGGCUUAGAAGCAGCCAUCAUUUAAAGAAAGCGUAAUAGCUCACUGGUCGAGUCGGCCUGCGCGGAAGAUGUAACGGGGCUAAACCAUGCACCGAAGCUGCGGCAGCGACGCUGAUGCGUUGUUGGGUAGGGGAGCGUUCUGUAAGCCUGCGAAGGUGUGCUGUGAGGCAUGCUGGAGGUAUCAGAAGUGCGAAUGCUGACAUAAGUAACGAUAAAGCGGGUGAAAAGCCCGCUCGCCGGAAGACCAAGGGUUCCUGUCCAACGUUAAUCGGGGCAGGGUGAGUCGACCCCUAAGGCGAGGCCGAAAGGCGUAGUCGAUGGGAAACAGGUUAAUAUUCCUGUACUUGGUGUUACUGCGAAGGGGGGACGGAGAAGGCUAUGUUGGCCGGGCGACGGUUGUCCCGGUUUAAGCGUGUAGGCUGGUUUUCCAGGCAAAUCCGGAAAACUAAGGCUGAGGCGUGAUGACGAGGCACUACGGUGCUGAAGCAACAAAUGCCCUGCUUCCAGGAAAAGCCUCUAAGCAUCAGGUAACAUCAAAUCGUACCCCAAACCGACACAGGUGGUCAGGUAGAGAAUACCAAGGCGCUUGAGAGAACUCGGGUGAAGGAACUAGGCAAAAUGGUGCCGUAACUUCGGGAGAAGGCACGCUGAUAUGUAGGUGAAGUCCCUCGCGGAUGGAGCUGAAAUCAGUCGAAGAUACCAGCUGGCUGCAACUGUUUAUUAAAAACACAGCACUGUGCAAACACGAAAGUGGACGUAUACGGUGUGACGCCUGCCCGGUGC